RNAcentral lists this ribosomal RNA (426 nucleotides) under uncultured bacterium. Its description in RNAcentral is "partial 16S ribosomal RNA". It matches the Rfam family "Bacterial small subunit ribosomal RNA", at positions 354 to 796 of the family's 1533-position model. The record is from RNAcentral.
GUGAGGAAUUUUCCGCAAUGGGCGAAAGCCUGACGGAGCAAUGCCGCGUGAAGGAUGAAGGCCUAUGGGUUGUAAACUUCUUUUCUCAGAAAAGAAUUAUGACGGUAUCUGAGGAAUAAGCAUCGGCUAACUCUGUGCCAGCAGCCGCGGUAAGACAGAGGAUGCAAGCGUUAUCCGGAAUGAUUGGGCGUAAAGCGUCUGUAGGUUGUUUAAAAAGUAUUCUGUCAAAGAUUAGGGCUUAACCCUAGAUAGGCAGAAUAAACUUUUAAGCUAGAGUUUGGUAGAGGAAGAGGGAAUUCCCGGUGGGGCGGUGAAAUGCGUAGAUAUCGGGAGGAACACCAAAGGCGAAGGCACUCUGCUGGGCCAAUACUAACACUGAGAGACGAAAGCGAGGGGAGCAAAUGGGAUUAGAAACCCUGGUAGUCC